Non-coding RNA from Acanthosepion pharaonis, 112 nucleotides. Lineage: Eukaryota; Metazoa; Mollusca; Cephalopoda; Sepiida; Sepiidae. The record is from the annotation of a GenBank genome assembly.
UACGGCCACAUUACAGUGAAACACCGGUUCCUGUACGAUCACCAAAGUUAAGCAACAUUGAGCCUACUCAGUACUUAAAUGGGUGACUCAUUGGAAAUAUUAGGUACUGUAA